Molecule: ribosomal RNA, 101 nt
Filed under: Telmatherina celebensis (Celebes rainbow)
Lineage: Eukaryota; Metazoa; Chordata; Actinopteri; Atheriniformes; Telmatherinidae
Description: partial 12S ribosomal RNA
Source: RNAcentral
AGCGCGUACACACCGCCCGUCACUCUCCCCGAGCCAUAGUACAUACAAUACAUAAAAAAUUUUUCUCGGUAAAGGGGAGGCAAGUCGUAACAUGGUAAGUG